GUGAAUGUUGAUGACUGAGAGAGAAGGGAUAAACCAGAGUGUUUUACAGCAACCCAGCAGAACCAAAGGAUCUGCCAAUACUGGCGAAGUCCUUUCUCUGAACCAGACAACAGAAGCUGCUGUCCCAGUUCGUGGUUGCUCCUUCCCACUGGCAAACAGCUGGGGGGGAUCUGCUCUCAGGAGGAGGGAUAUUUUGGAAACUGGAAAACUGCCGCUUGCACCAGAAUGGCAUGCCACUAAUUUCUGCAGCUUUUUUGAAGGGAGCAUUGCCACCCGGCGAGCUCUGUCAGCCUCCUCUAGGAUUCCCCAUAGAAAUCCCCACCCUCCUACAAGAGGAGCCGUGCCCCAGGUACGCCACAUUACCCACAGCCAGCCUUGCCACUCCCAGAGAAAGUUUGUGUUGUGCCUGCUGCAGGUUGGACGUGAAGAAGUGCACAUCCCUCUUUUUUUGCCUUCUUGCUGCAGACUCAUUCAACAAGGCCAUUCAGGACUGAAUUCAUUUCCAGGUCCAUCCUUUUUUGAAGAAACCAUCCCCAUGGAUGUCAGAAAUAUGAAUGAAUUCAGGACUGCAUUUGGGGAAGUCAAGACCUGA
This 592-nucleotide long non-coding RNA is filed under the name Numida meleagris (helmeted guineafowl). RNAcentral describes it as "lncRNA (ENSNMEG00000012218.1)". Lineage: Eukaryota; Metazoa; Chordata; Aves; Galliformes; Numididae. The record is from RNAcentral.